RNAcentral lists this ribosomal RNA (500 nucleotides) under uncultured Glomeromycotina. RNAcentral's name for it is "partial small subunit ribosomal RNA". It matches the Rfam family "Eukaryotic small subunit ribosomal RNA", at positions 591 to 1092 of the family's 1831-position model. Lineage: Eukaryota; Fungi; Glomeromycota. The record is from RNAcentral.
CCAAUAGCGUAUAUUAAAGUUGUUGCAGUUAAAAAGCUCGUAGUUGAAUUUCGGGAUCAAUACGCCUGUCGUGCCUUCGGUACGUACGGGUGUAAUUGGUUUCUACCUUCUGAGGAUCCUUGAUGUCAUUAAUUUGGUGUCUUGGGGAAUCAGGACUGUUACCUUGAAAAAAUUAGAGUGUUUAAAGCAGGCAUACGCUUGAAUACAUUAGCAUGGAAUAAUGAAAUAGGACGUUCGAUUCUAUUUUGUUGGUUUCUAGGAUCGACGUAAUGAUUAAUAGGGAUAGUUGGGGGCAUUAGUAUUCAAUUGUCAGAGGUGAAAUUCUUGGAUUUAUUGAAGACUAACUACUGCGAAAGCAUUUGCCAAGGAUGUUUUCAUUAAUCAAGAACGAAAGUUAGGGGAUCGAAGACGAUCAGAUACCGUCGUAGUCUUAACCAUAAACUAUGCCGACUAGGGAUCGGAUGAUGUUAAUUUUUUAAUGACUCAUUCGGCGCCUUACG